Molecule: ribosomal RNA, 433 nt
Filed under: uncultured bacterium
Lineage: Bacteria
Description: partial 16S ribosomal RNA
Rfam family: Bacterial small subunit ribosomal RNA
Source: RNAcentral
AACGAACGCUGGCGGCAUGCCUAACACAUGCAAGUCGAACGAGACCUUCGGGUCUAGUGGCGCACGGGUGCGUAACGCGUGGGAACCUGCCCUUAGGUUCGGAAUAACUCCCCGAAAGGGGUGCUAAUACCGGAUAAUGUCUUCGGACCAAAGAUUUAUCGCCUUUGGAUGGGCCCGCGUUGGAUUAGCUAGUUGGUAGGGUAAAAGCCUACCAAGGCGACGAUCCAUAGCUGGUCUGAGAGGAUGAUCAGCCACACUGGGACUGAGACACGGCCCAGACUCCUACGGGAGGCAGCAGUGGGGAAUAUUGGACAAGGGGCGAAAGCCUGAUCCAGCAAUGCCGCGUGAGUGAUGAAGGCCUUAGGGUUGUAAAGCUCUUUUACCCGGGAUGAUAAUGACAGUACCGGGAGAAUAAGCUCAGGCUAACUCCGUG